This 486-nucleotide ribosomal RNA is filed under the name uncultured bacterium. Its description in RNAcentral is "partial 16S ribosomal RNA". It matches the Rfam family "Bacterial small subunit ribosomal RNA", at positions 30 to 507 of the family's 1533-position model. The record is from RNAcentral.
AUUGAACGCUGGCGGCAUGCCUUACACAUGCAAGUCGAACGGCAGCACGGGUGCUUGCACCUGGUGGCGAGUGGCGAACGGGUGAGUAGUACAUCGGAACAUGUCCUGUAGUGGGGGAUAGCCCGGCGAAAGCCGGAUUAAUACCGCAUACGAUCCACGGAUGAAAGCGGGGGACCUUCGGGCCUCGCGCUAUAGGGUUGGCCGAUGGCUGAUUAGCUAGUUGGUGGGGUAAAGGCCUACCAAGGCGACGAUCAGUAGCUGGUCUGAGAGGACGACCAGCCACACUGGGACUGAGACACGGCCCAGACUCCUACGGGAGGCAGCAGUGGGGAAUUUUGGACAAUGGGCGAAAGCCUGAUCCAGCAAUGCCGCGUGUAUGAAGAAGGCCUUCGGGUUGUAAAGCACUUUUGUCCGGAAAGAAAUCCUUGACUCUAAUACAGUCGGGGGAUGACGGUACCGGAAGAAUAAGCACCGGCUAACUACGUG